Molecule: ribosomal RNA, 482 nt
Filed under: uncultured bacterium
Lineage: Bacteria
Description: partial 16S ribosomal RNA
Rfam family: Bacterial small subunit ribosomal RNA
Source: RNAcentral
AUUGAACGCUGGCGGCAUGCUUUACACAUGCAAGUCGAACGGUAACAGGCCGCAAGGUGCUGACGAGUGGCGCACGGGUGAGUAAUGCAUCGGAACGUGCCCAGCCGUGGGGGAUAACUACUCGAAAGAGUAGCUAAUACCGCAUACGAUCUAUGGAUGAAAGCGGGGGACCGUAAGGCCUCGCGCGAUUGGAGCGGCCGAUGUCAGAUUAGGUAGUUGGUGGGGUAAAGGCUCACCAAGCCAACGAUCUGUAGCUGGUCUGAGAGGACGACCAGCCACACUGGGAUUGAGACACGGCCCAGACUCCUACGGGAGGCAGCAGUGGGGAAUUUUGGACAAUGGGCGCAAGCCUGAUCCAGCAAUGCCGCGUGCAGGAAGAAGGCCUUCGGGUUGUAAACUGCUUUUGUACGGAACGAAACGGCUCUGGUUAAUACCCGGGGCUAAUGACGGUACCGUAAGAAUAAGCACCGGCUAACUACGUG